CUCUCUUGCGGCUCAGGGUGGUGUGUGGGGAGGUACAGAGGGCCUGGUGGCCCUCCAGAUGAAGGACAGGGGGCUGGGGGUGAGGACUCCGAGUCCUGUGAGCAACGUCAUUACGUCCAGAGCGCUAACUCCCAGAUCCUCAACACCUGCUUGGCCUCAUGGCUGCCAGAUUCCAAGGUGAUUGAGUGAGGAAUACAGCUGUUGAUUGACAAGCAGCUGCCCAAUGGAGACUAACCACAGGGGAGCAUCUCGGGGAUGUUCAAUAAGAGCUAUGCCAUCAGCUACACCUCCUACAGGAACGUAUUCACAGUGUGGACGCUGUGCCGCCUUCUCCAACCUUUACCCCUCCAGCCCUCUGGCUGUGAAGGUCAAGCUGUGAGGUCAGGAGUCGGCAGGGGUGUGCUCAGUGUCAUUUCUGAAAUCUUUACAUAAAGAACAGUCGUAAAAGUGGGACGCUAAUGAAUAGAAGGUGCUGGAACAGGAGUCCUGAAAUGACCUCAACCCCGGGAUUACUUGACCACGCCUGCUAUUUAACAUUCCUUUUGCCUUACGUUUACUGAACUCGUUGAAACAACCUUUUAGCUGAGGAAUUGUGAGAAAUAGUGUCAUUUUGGCGCCUGUAUUAUGACAUUAAAUCGAUACCCUUAAAUCAGUCUGUAAAUAGUGCUGAAAUAGUUCCCUAUUAAUAUUAACCUUAGUCUCUGAGAAUGUAUUGAUCAGUGGCGGCCAGUGCCGUUUAAGAUGAGGACAAUUUGUUUUUCAUGAGCAUGGCCUUAUUUCUA
Molecule: non-coding RNA, 782 nt
Organism: Salvelinus sp. IW2-2015
Lineage: Eukaryota; Metazoa; Chordata; Actinopteri; Salmoniformes; Salmonidae
Source: RefSeq, a predicted model, not a curated record